RNAcentral lists this transfer RNA (61 nucleotides) under Biomphalaria glabrata. Its description in RNAcentral is "tRNA-Thr". The record is from RNAcentral. Lineage: Eukaryota; Metazoa; Mollusca; Gastropoda; Planorbidae.
UUCAGAAUAGCUUAACACUAAAGCAUUGAUUUUGUAAUUCAACGAUAAUUUUUUUCUGAAA